UAACAGGCGUUGAGGAAACCACACAUUUGAGGCAGCGUGUUCCGGUGCACGGCGGCUGCUCUCCCGGAUCCGGGAUCCGGGAUCCCGCUGGCUGCCGCUCACCAGCUGUGCGAGCCCGAGGACGCUGGCUGAGUUCCCGGAGUGGACUUCACGACUCUGCGAAGCGUAGGUGCUCUGACCCCUACUUGAAGAUAAAACUGAGGCUCAGGUGACCUAGAGAUGAGGUCAGUGGCGGAGCUGGAAUUCAAACCCCAGGAAGUCUGACUGUGACGCCCACGUGCCUCACCACCACCCGAUGCCGCCACGUCCGCAGGAAGCACGUGGCCUGGAGAGAAGACGAGGAGACGACAGCUGAAGUGCCAAGGGAGUCGGGUGGCCGGAAUCCCUCCGCAUCCGCGAGUCUCAUCUCCCGUCCUGUAUGCAUCGGGGGGUCGGUGCUCUGGGUCGGGGCCGGACUUUCUGCACUCUCCGGACGUCCACCCGGGGUGCCAGGAGCGGAGUUCUGCACACACCUGCACCCUCCCCUUUCUCAAGGCCAUGGCAAUCAUAAAGGUUUGACCACGUCGCAAACUGUUUCUUAAGCGACAGCUUCCCAGAAAGGGGAUGACAGCAUCAGGGAGCAGAAACCUCUUAAGGCUCUCGCUCUGUAUGGCCAAAUUGCUUUCCAGUUUACCUUCCUGCCAAAGGACUACCAAUCCUGAGUAGGCGCGGCGUCCAGAACACCCUACCCGUGAGCCAGCUAAUCAUGUCCUUCCCAGAGGAGGCCACGCCGAGGCCCAGAGCCAGGAUCAGAGAGACACGCCCAGCUCUUUGAAGCUCCUCAUUCCUAGCAGGGAACGUUCCCAUCAGCAUCACCUGAGAACUUGCUAGAAAUGCAAACGCCCGGGCCUCGCCCCAGUGGUACUGAGUCAGAAACUCCAGGGGUGGGGCCCAGCAGUCUGGAAAGGAGCCCUCCAGGUGCUUCUGGUGCUGGCCCAGGUCUGGGAGCCACGGGGCCUGAGGAAGCUGCCUUGGCUGCAAGGGAAAUGCACACACUUGCUAAUAAACCUGUGCCUGCUCAGGGCAGAUCCCAGGGCAAGGUCACUUCCAUCUCUAGUUCAUGACGCUGUGCUAGAAGCAAGUGAUCUGGGGUUGCUGGUUGCUGGUUGCCGGUUGCCACUCUCCAAUCCACGUCGAGAACCCACUUGGAAUGGUAGAGAAGGACGACCCAGUUUGAGAGAGCACCUGGACGGCAGAACUGGGAUCCUGGAUCCGUUUGUACCCGGUUGCUAGCUCCACCCCAUCCUUUCCAGGUUUCUGUGAGUAAGAAGGAAAAGAAAGAUGGAAUUGGGAGGCAACCAACAGUCCCUGUCAUGUGUACCUACCUCACAGGAUUGUUGUGAGGAUGAACUGAGGCAAUUGAAGAUGAUUCCUCUUGUCUGUCUAGAGAGACCUGAAGUCCAUGCAGUGCCCCCAAGAGCCUGUCCCUCAUGGAUGUUACCGGGAGAAAAACCUAGAGAGUGUUCCUCUGGGUCCCAUGGUAAUGUGUGCAUCUAACUGAGGCAAGAAUUAUCUUCCCCUUCAUGUGAUCACCCUUCUCCCAGAACAGAGGGAUUUUGUCAGCCUGGAACAAUGUGUACUCCUGAGUCAUUUCAUGUAUCAUGAAAUCCCAAUUUUUCAGAAUGGGUUGAGACCAAGGUUUUUAGUGAAACUGUCCUGGGGGGAAAAAAAUUGGCACUAAGUCCCAAGACUUUUUUCCCCUUGAUCUCCGUCCAUCAUGAUGGAAGAUAAAAUGUAUCAGUAUUCUUGCUCCUGAUUUUUUAUUAGUGAACUAGGAUAUACAAGAACUUAAUAAAAUAUUCACAAAAG
Long non-coding RNA from Vicugna pacos (alpaca), 1848 nucleotides. RefSeq lists it as uncharacterized. The record is from RefSeq and is a predicted model, not a curated record. NCBI's taxonomy places the organism in Eukaryota, Metazoa, Chordata, Mammalia, Artiodactyla, Camelidae.